This 178-nucleotide long non-coding RNA is filed under the name Cricetulus griseus (Chinese hamster). RNAcentral's name for it is "lncRNA (ENSCGRG00000024667.1)". Lineage: Eukaryota; Metazoa; Chordata; Mammalia; Rodentia; Cricetidae. The record is from RNAcentral.
AGAACAGCGUUGCAUGCAGUAUCUCUCAACACUCUUUCAACAUAGAAAAGAAGUUGAGAAUAAAAGUUGCACUCAAAUGCAGCAAAGCACAUUGUCACCCAGGAUUUCCUAUAAAGAUUCAAAAUCCAUUUGUCUACCAUAAAGAAAAAGAACCGAAUAUAAAUACCUCUGAAGCGAC